Molecule: ribosomal RNA, 253 nt
Filed under: uncultured bacterium
Lineage: Bacteria
Description: partial 16S ribosomal RNA
Rfam family: Bacterial small subunit ribosomal RNA
Source: RNAcentral
UACGUAGGGUGCGAGCGUUAUUCGGAAUUACUGGGCGUAAAGCGCGCGUAGGCGGCGCGUUAAGACGGGUGUGAAAGCCCCGAGCUUAACUUGGGAAUUGCGCUUGUGACUGGCGUGCUGGAGUGUGGCAGAGGGAGGUGGAAUUCCACGUGUAGCAGUGGAAUGCGUAGAGAUGUGGAGGAACACCGAUGGCGAAGGCGGGUCUCUGGGCAACAACUGACGCUGAGGAGCGAAAGCGUGGGGAGCGAACAGG